UGCAUAGUUGAUGGCACAGAAAGACUGC
RNAcentral lists this non-coding RNA (28 nucleotides) under Mus musculus (house mouse). Lineage: Eukaryota; Metazoa; Chordata; Mammalia; Rodentia; Muridae. The record is from RNAcentral.